AGUGAACGCUGGCGGUAGGCCUAACACAUGCAAGUCGAACGGCAGCACAGUAAGAGCUUGCUCUUCCGGGUGGCGAGUGGCGGACGGGUGAGGAAUACAUCGGAAUCUACUUUUUCGUGGGGGAUAACGUAGGGAAACUUACGCUAAUACCGCAUACGACCUACGGGUGAAAGCAGGGGACCUUCGGACCUUGCGCGAUUGAAUGAGCCGAUGUCGGAUUAGCUAGUUGGCGGGGUAAAGGCCCACCAAGGCGACGAUCCGUAGCUGGUCUGAGAGGAUGAUCAGCCACACUGGAACUGAGACACGGUCCAGACCCCUACGGGAGGCAGCAGUGGGGAAUAUUGGACAAUGGGCGCAAGCCUGAUCCAGCCAUACCGCGUGGGUGAAGAAGGCCUUCGGGUUGUAAAGCCCUUUUGUUGGGAAAGAAAAGCAGCAGGCUAAUACCCCGCUGUUCUGACGGUACCCAAAGAAUAAGCACCGGCUAACUUCGUG
RNAcentral lists this ribosomal RNA (492 nucleotides) under uncultured bacterium. Its description in RNAcentral is "partial 16S ribosomal RNA". It matches the Rfam family "Bacterial small subunit ribosomal RNA", at positions 29 to 507 of the family's 1533-position model. The record is from RNAcentral.